This 146-nucleotide unclassified non-coding RNA is filed under the name uncultured Pezoloma. Its description in RNAcentral is "sequence contains ITS2". Lineage: Eukaryota; Fungi; Ascomycota; Leotiomycetes; Leotiales; Leotiaceae. The record is from RNAcentral.
UAACCACUCAAGCCUAGCUUGGUCUUGGGGUUCGCGGUCUCGCGGCCCCUAAAAUCAGUGGCGGUGCUGCCUAGCUCUAAGUGUAGUAAUUCUCUCGCUACAGGGUCUAGGUGGUUACUUGCCAGAAACCCCCCUUAUUUUUCUAC